AUUGAGCUCACAAAAGGAAACAACAAGAUUGAUCUUUUGAGUGCAACUGUUGGACUGCAGAAUUAUGGUGCAUUUUUUGAUACUUGGGGUGCUGGAAUCACCGGUCCUGUGCAAUUGACAGGCCCAAAUAGCACAUUGGAUCUAUCUCAAAAUGAGUGGACAUACCAGGUUGGACUCAAAGGUGAAGAAUCAGGUUUGCCCACAAGUUCGGAUACUUCACAGUGGGUCUCGGAUUCAACCUUACCCAAAAAUCAACACUUGAUAUGGUACAAGACGAGCUUCGAUGCCCCUGCGGGCAGUGAUCCAG
Molecule: unclassified non-coding RNA, 307 nt
Filed under: Hevea brasiliensis (rubber tree)
Lineage: Eukaryota; Viridiplantae; Streptophyta; Magnoliopsida; Malpighiales; Euphorbiaceae
Source: RNAcentral